AGAGUUUGAUCCUGGCUCAGAACGAACGCUGGCGGCGUGGAUAAGACAUGCAANGUCGAACGGGACAUUUCAGGUAGCAAUAUUUGAAAUGUUCAGUGGCGAACGGGUGCGUAACACGUGGAUUACAUUCCGGGAAGCGGGGGAUAGCCCAGGGAAACUUGGAUUAAUACCGCAUGUGGUCGAAAGACUAAAGGUGGGGACCGCAAGGCCUGCCACUUCCCGAUUGGUCCGCGGCCUAUCAGCUUGUUGGUGAGGUAAUGGCUCACCAAGGCUACGACGGGUAGCUGGUCUUAGAGGACGACCAGCCACACUGGAACUGAGACACGGUCCAGACACCUACGGGUGGCAGCAGUCGAGAAUCUUUCACAAUGGGGGCAACCCUGAUGGAGCGACGCCGCGUGGAGGAUAAGGUCUUCGGAUUGUAAACUCCUGUCAUGCGAGAACAAGGUACCCGGGUUA
RNAcentral lists this ribosomal RNA (459 nucleotides) under uncultured bacterium. RNAcentral's name for it is "bacterial SSU rRNA". It matches the Rfam family "Bacterial small subunit ribosomal RNA", at positions 8 to 462 of the family's 1533-position model. The record is from RNAcentral.